Molecule: ribosomal RNA, 843 nt
Filed under: uncultured bacterium
Lineage: Bacteria
Description: bacterial SSU rRNA
Rfam family: Bacterial small subunit ribosomal RNA
Source: RNAcentral
AGAGUUUGAUCAUGGCUCAGGACGAACGCUGGCGGCGUGCUUAAGACAUGCAAGUCGAGCGGAGCCCUUCGGGGUUCAGCGGCGGACGGGUGAGUAACACGUGGAUAACCUGCCCUUUGUUCCGGGAUAACAGGCCGAAAGGCCUGCUAAUACGGGAUAAGCUCACGGAGUCGCAUGGCUCUGGGAGAAGAGGCGCUGCAAGGCGCUGACAGAGGAGGGGUCCGCGGUCCAUUAGCUAGUUGGAGGGGUAACGGCCCACCAAGGCGACGAUGGAUAGCCGGCCUGAGAGGGCGAUCGGCCACACUGGGACUGAGACACGGCCCAGACUCCUACGGGAGGCGGCAGUCGGGAAUUUUGGACAAUGGCCGAAAGGCUGAUCCAGCAACGCCGCGUGAGUGAAGAAGGCCUUCGGGUUGUAAAGCUCUGUUGCCCGUGAAGAACGGCCGCAUCAGGAAAUGGGUGCGGAUUGACGGUAACGGGAGAGGAAGCCCCGGCAAACUACGUGCCAGCAGCCGCGGUAAUACGUAGGCGGCGAGCGUUGUCCGGAUUUAUUGGGCGUAAAGGGCGUGUAGGCGGUCUGGUAAGUCGGGGGUGAAAACCCGGGGCUCAACCCCGAGGAGUGCCUCCGAUACUGCUGGACUUGAGUGCUCUAGAGGGUAGUGGAAUUGCCGGUGUAGCAGUGAAAUGCGUAGAGAUCGGCAGGAACACCAGUGGCGAAGGCGACUGCCUGGGGAGUAACUGACGCUGAGGCGCGAAAGCUAGGGGAGCGAACAGGAUUAGAUACCUCUGGUAGUCCUAGCCGUAAACGAUGAGUGCUAUGUGUGAGGGGUAUCGACCCCCCUC